AACGCUAGCUACAGGCUUAACACAUGCAAGUCGAGGGGCAGCAUGAACAAAGCUUGCUUUGUUCGAUGGCGACCGGCGCACGGGUGAGUAACGCGUAUCCGACCUGCCCAUGACUCGGGCACAGCCGCUCGAAAGAGCGAUUGAUUCCCGAUACGUCGUAUGAGUAGAUCAUGUGAUGAAAGAUUCAUCGGUCAUGGAUGGGGAUGCGUAGGAUUAGGUAGUAGGCGGGGUAACGGCCCACCUAGCCGACGAUCCUUAGGGGUUCUGAGAGGAAGGUCCCCCACACUGGUACUGAGACACGGACCAGACUCCUACGGGAGGCAGCAGUGAGGAAUAUUGGUCAAUGGGCGGAAGCCUGAACCAGCCAAGUAGCGUGAAGGAUUACUGCCCUACGGGUUUUAAACUUCUUUUAUGCGAGAGUAAUGUGCGCCACGUGUGGUGUAUUGCAAGUAUCGCAUGAAUAAGCAUCGGCUAACUCCGUGCCAGCAGCCGCGGUAAUACGGAGGAUGCGAGCGUUAUCCGGAUUUAUUGGGUUUAAAGGGUGCGUAGGCGGAAAGUUAAGUCAGUGGUCAAACUGCGGAGCUCAACUCCGUAUCGCCAUUGAAACUGGUUUUCUUGAGUGAGUGAGAAGUAUGCGGAAUGCGUGGUGUAGCGGUGAAAUGCAUAGAUAUCACGCAGAACUCCGAUUGCGAAGGCAGCAUACCGGCACUCAACUGACGCUGAAGCACGAAAGCGUGGGUAUCGAACAGGAUUAGAUACCCUGGUAGUCCGCACCGUAAACGAUGGAUACUCGCUGUCGGCGAUACACAGUCGGCGGCCAAGCGAAAGCAUUAAGUAUCCCACCUGGGGAGUACGCCGGCAACGGUGAAACUCAAAGGAAUUGACGGGGGCCCGCACAAGCGGAGGAACAUGUGGUUUAAUUCGAUGAUACGCGAGGAGCCUUACCCGGGCUUGAACUGCGGUGGACCGGUCCAGAGAUGGACUUUCCCUUCGGGGCCGCCGUGGAGGUGCUGCAUGGUUGUCGUCAGCUCGUGCCGUGAGGUGUCGGCUUAAGUGC
Molecule: ribosomal RNA, 1057 nt
Filed under: uncultured Bacteroidales bacterium
Lineage: Bacteria; Pseudomonadati; Bacteroidota; Bacteroidia; Bacteroidales
Description: bacterial SSU rRNA
Rfam family: Bacterial small subunit ribosomal RNA
Source: RNAcentral